RNAcentral lists this ribosomal RNA (286 nucleotides) under uncultured bacterium. RNAcentral describes it as "partial 16S ribosomal RNA". It matches the Rfam family "Bacterial small subunit ribosomal RNA", at positions 510 to 793 of the family's 1533-position model. The record is from RNAcentral.
AGCAGCCGCGGUAAUACGUAGGGGGCAAGCGUUAUCCGGAAUCACUGGGCGUAAAGGGUGCGUAGGCGGCUUAGCAAGCCAGGGGUGAAAGGCAUUGGCUCAACCAAUGUAAGACCUUUGGUAACUGUUAAGCUUGAGUGCAGGAGAGGUAAGUGGAAUUCCUAGUGUAGAGGUGAAAAUUCGUAGAUAUUAGGAGGAACACCAGUGGCGAAGGCGACUUACUGGACUGUAACUGACGCUGAUGCACGAAAGCGUGGGUAGCGAACAGGAUUAGAUACCCUGGUAG